GCCAGGGUAGCUCAGCCUGGAAGAGCACUCGGCUGAAGACCGGGCUGUCGCUUGUUCAAAUCAUGCCCCUGGCA
This 74-nucleotide transfer RNA is filed under the name Nitrosopumilus sp. BACL13 MAG-121220-bin23. RNAcentral's name for it is "tRNA-Phe". It matches the Rfam family "tRNA". Rfam says of the family: Transfer RNA (tRNA) molecules are approximately 80 nucleotides in length. Their secondary structure includes four short double-helical elements and three loops (D, anti-codon, and T loops). RNAcentral also lists the same sequence under 3 other names. The record is from RNAcentral. Lineage: Archaea; Thermoproteati; Nitrososphaerota; Nitrososphaeria; Nitrosopumilales; Nitrosopumilaceae.